UUGUGAGUCCGCGCGGGUGGGUACCACUAC
Molecule: small RNA, 30 nt
Filed under: Bombyx mori (domestic silkworm)
Lineage: Eukaryota; Metazoa; Arthropoda; Insecta; Lepidoptera; Bombycidae
Description: ovarian small RNA-38147
Source: RNAcentral